RNAcentral lists this ribosomal RNA (465 nucleotides) under Vreelandella stevensii. Its description in RNAcentral is "partial 16S ribosomal RNA". It matches the Rfam family "Bacterial small subunit ribosomal RNA", at positions 338 to 795 of the family's 1533-position model. The record is from RNAcentral. Lineage: Bacteria; Pseudomonadati; Pseudomonadota; Gammaproteobacteria; Oceanospirillales; Halomonadaceae.
CCUAGGGGUGGCAGCAGUGGGGAAUAUUGGACAAUGGGCGAAAGCCUGAUCCAGCCAUGCCGCGUGUGUGAAGAAGGCCUUCGGGUUGUAAAGCACUUUCAGUGGGGAAGAAAGCCUUGGGGCUAAUACCCUCGAGGAAGGACAUCACCCACAGAAGAAGCACCGGCUAACUCCGUGCCAGCAGCCGCGGUAAUACGGAGGGUGCGAGCGUUAAUCGGAAUUACUGGGCGUAAAGCGCGCGUAGGCGGCCUGAUAAGCCGGUUGUGAAAGCCCCGGGCUCAACCUGGGAACGGCAUCCGGAACUGUCAGGCUAGAGUGCAGGAGAGGAAGGUAGAAUUCCCGGUGUAGCGGUGAAAUGCGUAGAGAUCGGGAGGAAUACCAGUGGCGAAGGCGGCCUUCUGGACUGACACUGACGCUGAGGUGCGAAAGCGUGGGUAGCAAACAGGAUUAGAUACCCUAGUAGUC